AGGAGCCGUAUGAGGUGAAAAUCUCAUGUAAGGUUUUGGAACGGAGAAUUCUUUGAAUCGAAUGGUAACUGUAAUGGAUUUCGACUCAAU
Non-coding RNA from Gossypium hirsutum (cotton), 90 nucleotides. Lineage: Eukaryota; Viridiplantae; Streptophyta; Magnoliopsida; Malvales; Malvaceae. The record is from Rfam.